GAUUGAACGCUGGCGGCAUGCCUUCCACAUGCAAGUCGAACGGUAACGGGCCUUCGGGUGCCGACGAGUGGCGAACGGGUGAGUAAUACAUCGGAACGUGCCCGAUCGUGGGGGAUAACGAGGCGAAAGCUUUGCUAAUACCGCAUACGAUCUACGGAUGAAAGCAGGGGACCGCAAGGCCUUGCGCGGACGGAGCGGCCGAUGGCAGAUUAGGUAGUUGGUGGGAUAAAAGCUUACCAAGCCGACGAUCUGUAGCUGGUCUGAGAGGAUGAUCAGCCACCCUGGACCUGAAACACGGCCCAGACUCCUACGGGAGGCAGCAGUGGGAAUUUUUGGACAAUGGGGGCAAGCCUGAUCCGGCCAUGCCGCGUGCAGGAGGAAGGCCUUCGGGUUGUAACUGCUUUUGUACGGAACGAAAAGCCUUCUUUUAAUACAGGAGGGUCAUGACGGUACCGUAAGAAUAAGCACCGGCUAACUACGUG
Molecule: ribosomal RNA, 482 nt
Filed under: uncultured bacterium
Lineage: Bacteria
Description: partial 16S ribosomal RNA
Rfam family: Bacterial small subunit ribosomal RNA
Source: RNAcentral